This 108-nucleotide small RNA is filed under the name Marmota monax (woodchuck). Lineage: Eukaryota; Metazoa; Chordata; Mammalia; Rodentia; Sciuridae. The record is from RNAcentral.
GCCGGGCAUGGUGGCGCAUGCCUAUAAUCCCAGUGGCUCAGGAGGCUGAGGCAGGAGGAUCACAAAGUUCAAAGCCAGCAUCAGCAACUUGGCAAGACCAUGUCUCUA